UGGAAACCACACUCUUGUCAUUUCUGAAG
This 29-nucleotide non-coding RNA is filed under the name Mus musculus (house mouse). The record is from RNAcentral. Lineage: Eukaryota; Metazoa; Chordata; Mammalia; Rodentia; Muridae.